GGCUUCCUUGCUCACAGCUGCUGCUUCUAGCAUAUGCACGGGCGCUCUGGCCAUCAUGGUGGGGGGAGGGGCGCUUUCCUUGCAUGCAUAAUCCCAGGAGCAUUCUCUCUCUGCCCUUGCCAUCUGCCAUCCUGGGGUGCUGGCUUGAAGACACCCCCACAAUAGCUUAGCCACCUCUGUGUGGGGCUUUCCCACUGGCUGUGAGGGCAUUUGGAGAGGGAGGGUGUUCCUGUGGAGAGCUGGGUGUGGUCCUGCACCUGGGUAGCUGCCAUUCGGGGAAGGAGGGGAGAUCCCCUUACCUCCUUCCACUUCCUCUGGGGGGUCCGGCAGCUCCACCUUCAGGCAUAUGGCUGCCUGGGUCUCUCAGAUGUCUGUUGUGUUGUGUGAAUGUCCUCUGUUUGUUUAUGAAUUUCCUUUUUAUUGUGUCUUGUGAGGUGAGUCUAAGGGAAGAGUUCACUCCGCCAUGAUACUGACAUCAAUCUCUCCCUCCUCCAGUUUUGAUUAAAGAUUGGAAACCACCUUUCAGUUGGGUUAGAAAACUCCUUGCUUUUCUCAACACCAAGGCUCGUGUUUUGAAUCACGGUCUGGUGAGGUCCCAGGUGGGGAUGCAGCACAGGAAGGUGUGAUGUGUGAGGGAGUCUUGCUGGGGAUCAAGAGGCAGUGGGGGCAAGGGGCCCAGCACUGACCUGGCACCCUGAAGCCUGCCCGUGAGACGACAGCUCCUUUGUGCUAAAACGUCAAGUGAGUGUUGUGGCAUGCAGCAUGGGCUGGGCUGUAGACUGGACGCUGAGUGUGGUUCCUCUGUGGCUGUCCCCCAGAUGUCACUGUCUGAUGGGCCUCUCCCCUGUCACUUGCCUGGGCCACCUCCACUUUGCAGUGUCGUCAGAGUGUUUCUUUCCUCGGUCUUAGAGUGCUAUCGCUCAGAUGUCAUGUGAGCCAUAAAGAAAUGUGAGGUCACAAAGCAGAGUAUGGGAAGGCCAUGUGACCCCUCUGUUCCUCCCCUGGGAAGGCUCCACCCAUGGUGUGUCCACCUGAGCAGUGAGCCCUCACUCGUCACCCACUGCAGAUGCUUUCUUCUCGUAUUGGUGACACUGCAGUCUCUUCAAAACAUAAGUGAAGCAGGAGGAGCAUCCAGCCUUUUCUCAGCAGAUUAGGACAGCAGACCUGGAAGGAAGGCUGCUCAGCAUGAAGGCUGGCUGUGUUUCUACUUUCUGGCUUUCCCUCCGUGAGUUUCCCUUCAGCCUCACCCCAAAGGGUGGAUUUAGGUGUUGCAUCUGUGCAAACAUCCGUGUGGUUGAUGCGUGGUUGACGUGCUCUGCCUCCUUCACUGGGUCAAAAGCUCUGGAGGAAAGCAAUGGGUCUUUUACCACCGUCGUCUCCCAGGCCUUCUACUUGCCUCGCACACAGCAGGCACUCAGCCAGUGGUGAAGGAAGGAAUGCAUGUGUGGUGGUCAAGUCAGGAGGCAGCGUAACUUUGCUAAUACAGAGCAGUCAUAUCAGGAUUCCAUAUUACAUAGUUGGACGUGGAGAUUUCAAUUCUAGAAACCAGAGACUGGUCCCCACUCCCCUCCUCUCUCUGUCCCCCCAAGUCCUUAUUUGUGAAAUUCCAUUUCACCUAAACUGGAGUCAGGAGAGGAGUCUAGUCAUGGCUCAUGUGUACAUGUUCACUGUUCCCUACAUACUAAAGUGCGGGUUGAAAAUGGAAUGUUUGGGGACCUCCAGAAUAAGACGGCAUGAGGUUAAUGCCUCAUAAGUCUUCCCACUAGAGGCUCACGAAGACACCAAAGGGACAAAACACGGCCACCGAAGACUGUUCCACUGAUGUAGGAGCAGUUCAUCCUAGUAGGAGAUAGUUGCACCUGACUGGGGAGUAUGUGACACCUGGGAGCUGAGGGCCUCCCCUGUGGAGGCCUGCAUCCUGGACACAAGGCUACGUCUGCCUCCUGAAGAGCUGCGUCUCCCUUCAGUGGAUGCUGCCCUUUGCUUUACAAGCAGAGCCCGCCUUGCACCCGCCUCCAUCAGCACCUCCUUCCUCCCAUCCACUUAGAAACCGCAACACCACGAAACACUCAGAGGGAGAUAAAUGCUGAAGUGUAAGUUUGUCAAAAAUAAUCCUUGAAGACACAUGUGGGGACUAGAAGCAUCCUGCUGGCAGUCCUCACUGGAGAAGCUAGUUUUUUGUUUUUUGAAGAGUUUGUUUAGAUUAUCUAAGAGGCACUAAGCGCAGAAGAGAAGAUCCCAUUUGAGUUUACUGGAUCUGUGCUAGAAAAAUGUCUGCUGUGGGCUGGAGGUGGGCACAGCCCUUCCCCUGGUGGCCAGAAGGAGAGGUGGGUCCAUGGGACACUGCUUGUUGGCAACCACAGGGUCUGGAGACGACUGCUUUUGGAAGGAUGAGCAAACCAAGAUGGUGAGUGUAGGGCCUUAGAAUAUGCUGCACAGCAAAUGACAAAGAAUAUUAUCCUGAGGACCCAGAGAGGGAGCAGACCUCUGGAAAAAUUGACUGGAGAAAGAGAAAUAGGCAAACAACAACAAACCAGUAGGACAUAAGGAAAUAUGGCUUCCGUGAAAAAGAGCAGAAAGCCACAGGAGUGAACAUUUAGCAUGAAAUGGUAGGGUGAAUGGAUAAAAUGGGAGAGUUAAAAUCCACAUUGGAGAGGAUGAAUGGUGUUUCCAUAGGGAAUAAUGGGUCAGUGAUGUACAGACUGACUCAAGGAGCUUUCUCAGAAUGCAGAGGGACAAGUCAAUGAAAUAGGGGAAGACCAGAGGACCAAACCAUAGAUAUUUCUAAGGAGGAAUAAUUGGAAAAGAAGCAAUAAAAGAGUGGUAGAAAGAACUUCCUGAGUUGAUAAAAGACCUAAAUAUGCAUGCUGGAAGGCUCAUAUGUCGUAGACAAACUUGGUCUGAGGUGAUCGACAGUUAGAUGUGAAUAAGAUCAGCAUUGCACAACACAUCACUGUGCUUUCAAGUUAAGGAAACAUUUUAUUUUUCCUCCUUUGGAGUAAAUGGAGCAUUUUUUAUGAUUCCCUUUUGUGUUGUCUAUCGACUCGUCACUUACACCUCUUUUGAGGAAUCAGCAAUGCCCUGGGCUCACAGCCAACGUCUGUCUUUACCCAGUCUACUGCUGCACGACACACGUCUCAGUGCGUGGUGUAAGGAACUUACCGCAGUAUCUUCCACUGCCUUCUCCCAUCCUGUGUGCG
This 3200-nucleotide long non-coding RNA is filed under the name Equus caballus (horse). RNAcentral describes it as "lncRNA (ENSECAG00000045434.1)". Lineage: Eukaryota; Metazoa; Chordata; Mammalia; Perissodactyla; Equidae. The record is from RNAcentral.